Molecule: ribosomal RNA, 253 nt
Filed under: uncultured bacterium
Lineage: Bacteria
Description: partial 16S ribosomal RNA
Rfam family: Bacterial small subunit ribosomal RNA
Source: RNAcentral
UACGAAGGGGGCUAGCGUUGUUCGGAAUUACUGGGCGUAAAGCGCACGUAGGCGGACUGAUAAGUCAGGGGUGAAAUCCCGGGGCUCAACCCCGGAACUGCCUUUGAUACUGUCAGUCUAGAGUUCGAGAGAGGUGAGUGGAAUUCCGAGUGUAGAGGUGAAAUUCGUAGAUAUUCGGAGGAACACCAGUGGCGAAGGCGGCUCACUGGCUCGAUACUGACGCUGAGGUGCGAAAGCGUGGGGAGCAAACAGG